AACGAACGCUGGCGGCAUGCCUAACACAUGCAAGUCGAACGAGACCUUCGGGUCUAGUGGCGCACGGGCGCGUAACGCGUGGGAACCUGCCUUUAGGUUCGGAAUAACUCAGAGAAAUUUGAGCUGAUACCGGAUGAUGUCUUCGGACCAAAGAUUUAUCGCCUUUAGAUGGGCCCGCGUUGGAUUAGCUAGUUGGUGGGGUAAAGGCCUACCAAGGCGACGAUCCAUAGCUGGUCUGAGAGGAUGAUCAGCCACACUGGGACUGAGACACGGCCCAGACUCCUACGGGAGGCAGCAGUGGGGAAUAUUGGACAAUGGGCGAAAGCCUGAUCCAGCAAUGCCGCGUGAGUGAUGAAGGCCUUAGGGUUGUAAAGCUCUUUUACCCGAGAUGAUAAUGACAGUAUCGGGAGAAUAAGCUCCGGCUAACUCCGUG
This 433-nucleotide ribosomal RNA is filed under the name uncultured bacterium. RNAcentral's name for it is "partial 16S ribosomal RNA". It matches the Rfam family "Bacterial small subunit ribosomal RNA", at positions 29 to 507 of the family's 1533-position model. The record is from RNAcentral.